This 274-nucleotide non-coding RNA is filed under the name Herbaspirillum sp. Lineage: Bacteria; Pseudomonadati; Pseudomonadota; Betaproteobacteria; Burkholderiales; Oxalobacteraceae. The record is from RNAcentral.
AUACAAUUGCGCCGUUUUGGUGCCCGCCGGCGUGUCCUCGCCGGCAGUUAAACGGGAAACACGCCCCAUUAGCAGUUUGCAUGCCCGCCGCAUGCCGAUGCCGGGCCAACGUGUGCUGCCCCCGCAACGGUAAUCAGGCGCCGGCGUCGAUACGUUUCGUUCCGUCUUGCCGGCCAUCCAUCCCCCAGCCACUGUGCCCGCGGCGCGCGCCGCGCAUGGGAAGGCCGAUGGAGACGCCUGAAGCCCGGAUACCGGCCAGGACGGGGGGAAGCCC